GAUCCUGGCUCAGGAUGAACGCUAGCUACAGGCUUAACACAUGCAAGUCGAGGGGAAACGACAUCGAAAGCUUGCUUUGAUGGGCGUCGACCGGCGCACGGGUGAGUAACGCGUAUCCAACCUUCCCCAUAGUCAGGAAUAGCCCGGCGAAAGUCGAAUUAAUGCCUGAUGUUUUCCACGGACGGCAUCUGAUGUGGAACAAAGAUUCAUCGCUAUGGGAUGGGGAUGCGUCUGAUUAGCUUGUUGGCGGGGUAACGGCCCACCAAGGCAACGAUCAGUAGGGGUUCUGAGAGGAAGGUCCCCCACAUUGGAACUGAGACACGGUCCAAACUCCUACGGGAGGCAGCAGUGAGGAAUAUUGGUCAAUGGGCGGAAGCCUGAACCAGCCAAGUAGCGUGAGGGAUGACUGCCCUAUGGGUUGUAAACCUCUUUUAUAAGGGAAUAAAAUACGGGACGUGUCCUGUUUUGCAUGUACCUUAUGAAUAAGGACCGGCUAAUUCCGUG
RNAcentral lists this ribosomal RNA (504 nucleotides) under uncultured bacterium. Its description in RNAcentral is "bacterial SSU rRNA". It matches the Rfam family "Bacterial small subunit ribosomal RNA", at positions 15 to 507 of the family's 1533-position model. The record is from RNAcentral.